UAAUAAUGAAAUAAAUUCACUAAGUAUAUAUAAGACCACUUGCUAGAGGAUUUGAUCAGAGCUUUCUUAUUUAAUCUUUAUCAAGUGUUUUUCCUUGAGACAUCUCAAGGAAUAUUGAGAAACUCACUUAUUAUAAGGGAGCGAUAUGAUAUUGUCGAAUCACGAGAGUUAUCUCAAAUUCUUCAUGGGUGACAAGAUCAUUAAAGAUCAUUCACCUCAAACUUUCAAGAAGUUCCAAGAACAUCUUGAUCAUCAAAGCCAUAAUAUCUUGAUCAAAG
Molecule: long non-coding RNA, 278 nt
Filed under: Lathyrus oleraceus (garden pea)
Lineage: Eukaryota; Viridiplantae; Streptophyta; Magnoliopsida; Fabales; Fabaceae
Description: Pisum sativum (pea) long non-coding RNA (PSAT_LNC040211)
Source: RNAcentral